AACAUGAGUCAAACUUGUAAUCUAUAGAUUCCUUACUCAUGUAUCAUUGUCCCAGAAAGAAUUUGUAAGGAUUGGAAGCAAGAAAAAUUUUUAGAAGCGAGAAGGAAGAGAAAGGAAAAAUUUCUGAACUUGGGUCGACCCAACGUUGAGUCGACCCAAGAAAAUUCUUGAGUCGACCCAACGUCGGGACCCCACUGUUAAAAGGGGGACCCGUGAGCUUCUAGGGCACUGUUUACCCUUUGUCCUCUUCCGAAAACCCUAUUCCCCACUCUC
RNAcentral lists this long non-coding RNA (273 nucleotides) under Phoenix dactylifera (date palm). RNAcentral describes it as "long non-coding RNA (PDAC_LNC021130)". Lineage: Eukaryota; Viridiplantae; Streptophyta; Magnoliopsida; Arecales; Arecaceae. The record is from RNAcentral.